CAGGCUCAAAGUCGAGCGGGUGAAGUGCAUGCAAGAAAUAGUCUGCGGGGGUUCGGGGAGGCCGCGGGCCACGAACUCUCACUCGACCCGUUGCCUUUGCCCUGCUCUCAUUCGUUUGCUGCAGUCGAAGGAUAACGGGUGGUACAUUUGCGAGCACAGGGACAACCACAGUCAUGAUUUGUCUGCCUCUUUUGGCGAGCGAGCGCAUUGGCUGUCGCACAAACACAUUGAUAGCUACACUAAAGAUCUGGUCAAACAGCUGCAGGAGAAUAACGUGACUCUUGGCAAGGUGUACAGUAUCAUUGGAAGUUUCUUCGGGAAGAUGGAAAAUGUACCUUUCACGAAAAGGGCGUUGAGGACUUUGUGUGGUAAAAUCAGCAGUGAGCAAGCAUAUGAUGAUGUUAGGAAAACAAUAGAAGUUUUCUCGGAGAUGGGGGCAGCUGACCCUGGAUUCAGUUACAGCGUGCAAGUAGACGAUGACAGCAGGAUCAUGAACCUACUCUGGACAACCGGGAAAGGCCGGGCACAGGGCACAGUACCACUAUUUUGGAGAUGCAAUCACAUUCGACACCACGUACAGAACCAAUGUAUAUGAUAUGCCAUUUGGUCUGAUUGUUGGUGUGAAUAGCCAUUUCCAUAGUGUCAUAUUCGCAGGCGUGCUGCUGCGUGAAGAGAAGGUCGAGAACUUUGAAUGGGUCUUCAGGGAGUUUGUUAAGUUGAUGAAUAGUAAAAAACCAGUAACCGUCCUCACAGAUCAGUGCAGAGCGAUGGAGGUAGCUAUUGGGAAUGUACUGUCGGCGAUGAAGCAUCGAUGGUGCAAAUGGCAUGUCUUACGGAAAGCAAAGGAGAGGCUAGGAGCCCUUUAUGGGAAGAACAGCCAGUUCAAGGUUGAUUUCCACCGGAUUGUGAAUCAGAUGCUGACUAAGGAUGAAUUCGAGGCUGCUUGGAUGCAGAUGCUGAGUAUGUAUGCCUUGGAGAAGAAUCCAUAUGUGUACCAAAUAUAUGAGACCAGGGACAAGUGGGCGAAGCCGUUUUUCAGCGGAAUCUUCUGUGCUAGAAUGACCAGCACUCAGCGAAGCGAAAGUGCGAACCACAUGUUGAAGACUUACGUGCCUCCAGGCUCGGCGAUGCACGUGUUUGUUAAACAGUUUAACAAACUGUUGUACGAUAGGGAUGCGGAGGAGAGCUUCCAGGAGAAGCGGAACCAAUAGAGAAGCUUGCCGCGAAGAUAUAUACACGGACUAUGUUCGAGAAGUUCCAAGAGGUAAUUGUGCAUCCAUUUCAGCUUUCACAAAAGGGCCUACGCGGGGCAUCGAUGAAAAUGGCUAGUCCCUAUUUAUUCAAACAUGUUGAACCAGAGCACUAGAGGGUCAGCUGCUCCACCAAAAAGGAGCUGAAAACAAGAUUAGUUAGUUCUUGCAUUGCUGAAUGUAGGCAUACCAAAAAAGUUGUGGUCGAGGCAGCUACAGGCAGGUAAGCAUAUGGCAAGUACUGUUAAAAGGAUUGAUCAAAUUAGGCGUGGCAUAGUAUGGCCAGUGUGGUCGAAAAAUGUGUAACAUUACAUGCCAUCUGGGAAAAGACUUGGGCGACCUGGGUGAUAAACUGAUUUUCUAGUUCUUUGGACAUAGAGUGUUACA
Lolium rigidum is the source of this 1637-nucleotide RNA transcript. It is a transcript of the gene named protein FAR-RED IMPAIRED RESPONSE 1-like, with no coding region annotated. The record is from RefSeq and is a predicted model, not a curated record. The transcript is spliced from 5 exons. NCBI's taxonomy places the organism in Eukaryota, Viridiplantae, Streptophyta, Magnoliopsida, Poales, Poaceae.